This 254-nucleotide ribosomal RNA is filed under the name uncultured bacterium. Its description in RNAcentral is "partial 16S ribosomal RNA". It matches the Rfam family "Bacterial small subunit ribosomal RNA", at positions 524 to 776 of the family's 1533-position model. The record is from RNAcentral.
UACGUGGGGAGCAAGCGUUGUUCGGAUUUACUGGGCGUAAAGGGCGCGUAGGCGGCGCAGUAAGUCACUUGUGAAAUCUCUGAGCUUAACUCAGAACGGCCAAGUGAUACUGCAGUGCUAGAGUGCAGAAGGGGCAAUCGGAAUUCUUGGUGUAGCGGUGAAAUGCGUAGAUAUCAAGAGGAACACCUGAGGUGAAGACGGGUUGCUGGGCUGACACUGACGCUGAGUGCGCGAAAGCCAGGGGAGCAAACGGG